AACGAACGCUGGCGGCAGGCUUAACACACGCAAGUCGAACGGUUGCAGCAAUGCAGCAGUGGCAGACGGGUGAGUAACACGUGGGAACCUUCCUAGGGGUACGGAACAACUCAGGGAAACUUGAGCCAAUACCGUAUACGUCCGUGAGGAGAAAGAUUUAUCGCCCUUAGACGGGCCCGCGUCGGAUUAGCUAGUUGGUGGGGUAACGGCCUACCAAGGCGACGAUCCGUAGCUGAUCUUAGAGGAUGAUCAGCCACACUGGGACUGAGACACGGCCCAGACUCCUACGGGAGGCAGCAGUGGGGAAUUUUGGACAAUGGGCGCAAGCCUGAUCCAGCCAUGCCGCGUGAGUGAAGAAGGUCUUCGGAUUGUAAAGCUCUUUUGCCAGGGACGAUAAUGACGGUACCUGGAGAAUAAGCCCCGGCAAACUUCGUGCCAGCCGCCGCCGUAA
This 451-nucleotide ribosomal RNA is filed under the name uncultured bacterium. Its description in RNAcentral is "partial 16S ribosomal RNA". It matches the Rfam family "Bacterial small subunit ribosomal RNA", at positions 29 to 523 of the family's 1533-position model. The record is from RNAcentral.